Long non-coding RNA from Mus musculus (house mouse), 4169 nucleotides. RefSeq annotates it as predicted gene, 53331. Lineage: Eukaryota; Metazoa; Chordata; Mammalia; Rodentia; Muridae. The transcript has 2 exons. The record is from RefSeq and is a predicted model, not a curated record.
AGAUUUAUUAACCAUAUGUCUUCUACUAAAACCUAAGUUGUUAUAACGGCAGGAAGUUUAACUUUCAAGAGCAGUCAAUACUGAACUUUGAAGAGCAUUUAUGAAUAAUAAUGCAUUAGGGAAGGUCAGCUGGGCUUUUGCUCUAAAAAGUUAAGUAGUCCACGCCCUCGCCCUGGAUGUGUUUCCAAAGUAUUCCUUAUCGGCAGGAGGAGGCAAAUGACCCCAGCCGUCGUCUUAAAUGUGCAACUUUGCUUAUCUUCCUGUAUUAAUGAUCCUGCCGCAGUUGUUGUAUUAACCUUAUCACACAGAAUGGCAAUAAGGGAGGCCUAAUGUGCAAGAAAGAGGAAAAACAUUCCUUCUAAUCUCAGGGACCUUCUUCUAACCCUAGCAAUUUUCUGACUGUCAAGCAGAGUGAAAAAUGAAAGUUGGGCUUUUACAGAGUUUUUGUAAAAAUCACAAAGAAGCUAAAUGUUUUCAAAUGGGUGACUCACUAAACAUCAUACAGUGUGAAGAGAACCCAGAUUAGAUUAUCCUCUGAGCGGCCAGUCCUGGCUGUGUGGGCUCCGCUAAGGAGUCCUGACAAGGAGACGGGAGGAGGUGGCUCUUGAGAAAGCCACUCCUCCUUCAGAGCUCUGAACUGCUCAUGGGUGGAUCGGCAGAACCCUGUCCCUGGAAAGCUUUCUUUUUCUUCUGUUCUCUCUCUUUUUAAAGAUUUGCUUAUUUAUUUUAUGUAUAGGAGUACUCUGUCUUCGUGCAUCCCAUUACAGAUGGUUGUGAGCCACCAUGUGGUUGCUGGGUAUUGAACUCAGGACCUCUGGAAGAGCAACCAGUGCUCUUAACUGCUGAGCCAUCUCUCCAGCCCCAGAGACUCCUUUUUUAUACAGUCUCUGUCCACAUGGAGGAGGUUCCAAGUCUCCCUCUUUUAAUUCCUUUUUAACUUUGACAACAAAAGAACCUUGACCCCCAAGACUCCUCUAUCUCAGGAUACUUGAGAAACCAACUAACUUUAAGAUUGAAAUUAGUAUAUUUUUUUCGGCUGCAAAUGCUUGCCCUCGUCACACACAGCGGUGGGGUGACCUCGCCCCCUUCCACUUCCCAUGCCAGAUUUAGCCUGAACCAUCUCACCACAGGCUUAGAGUCUGGAGAGCACAAGCCAGCAGAUGAUGCUCUGGGCAUAGACUGCAGGGUAUCAACGCGCCACGCUGCCCGACAGCGACCCCGUCCGUCCACCCGUGGCCUCGCACCGCAGGUCAGCUUCAAGUGACCUGGCUCAGCAGCUUGGGGACCUACAUCUCCCCACGCGCGACCCAGAACCUGGACGCACGCGAUUCUUUCCCAGGGACGAAAGUUCCGCUCCUGGGCCCAACCGGGUCAGGCAAGAGAGGAAGGUUAGCGUAUUGGGCUCCGGUCUGGAAGGUUCCAGGCUCCUGGGAAUAAGCGCACAGCGCAGCGUGGGGUCAGCUAAGGCUGGAGCUGAUGGAGCCAUGUGCACUCUCUCGGAGGGCGGCGGUCUGAAGAACAAAGGCCCACGUGCCUCCCCCACCCACGCCCGGCACGUGUGCGGUGGCUUUGUUUGGUCCUCACUGUCUGGGUGCGGGACGCUGGCGGUGCCGGAGGCAGGUGGGCCAUGGUAAAUCGCUCUCCACCCGCCCACUCCAAAUGGCUUCCUCCCAUCCCCCACUCAGUUCCGCAGAGCAGUUGCUAUGGGUUACCAGGGCGGUUGCCAUGGGUUACCCAACCGAGGAAGCGGGAGCAUGCGUGGGAUGGCAGGAGCUUGAGGGCUGCUGAGCCGAGGCCCACGGGGGUGGGGGACUGAGCUAUAAAGAAGGUCCAGGUAAGAGUCGAAAUCCACGCGCUAUGACACUCAGAGCCUGCUGGCUUCUGCAGCAUCUCUACUUCUCUUUUGCUUAAAGCAGAGUGGAUUCCGCACAAAUUUUUGUAGCUUAGUGUUCUUCUCUCCCUCUUUUCUAAUCUAUCUUUUGAAAAUAAGUCUUUGGAAUUUUGAAGGAAAAGGGUCAUGAACUACCAGAGUUUUUGCUGCUAAAAUAAAUUAAUGUCCAGUGCACUAUUUUUAACAAGGACCUAGAAGUUUCCAGCAAGAGGGAAAGGGUUUGACUUAAGGGCUGACAGUGGUGACUGGACUGUAAAACGCGUCCAGCCAAGAACAAAGCCCUGAACCCAUUGUGAAUGUAUCAAACUCCAAAGGAAUUGUUUCUUUACAUGCUAAAUUAUUUUUAGCUCCAUUUAUUAAAAUGUCUGCAUUUCUUGCCUUGACUUGCAAAGAAAACUGUAUCUAUGCCUUUAAUGAAUGUCAAGUUGCCACAACUAAGUUCAGACAUUUUACGUUUAAAAAUGUGUUCAUAGCAAAUUAAGAAAUGGUUUUCUUCAGAAACAAAACUGUAUUGAAAUAAAUGCUUUCUCGGUGGAAAGGACGGCGUUGUACUCAUCCGGCACCAGCUAACUAAUUUAAAUAUUUUUUAAAAAGACAAUUUAGAAACAGAAUAAGCCUUCUUAAUUUUUGUACUUAAAAAAAAAAAUUAGGCCUUUCAUGAAAAUGGCUCAAUCCUGAAAACCUUAUUGUACACAUUUAACUUGAUAAUAAACCCUUAAAGAAGCAACAAAAUAAAGAAGCUGGGCUCAAGACAACAUCCAGCUGCCACUGUUGGCUAGAACAUGGAUAAACUAAAUAAAUUUGAUUAAGUGCUAAUGUCAUGUAAGAAGUUUUAUGCGUUUACUUCUCCAUGUUGCUAAUAACUUGUUUGUAUUUGUUGUUAAAUAUAAUUUGAAGUAGACCUGAAGAGCUCUGGCAAAAUAUAUUUAGUAUCUUAAGGAAUGGCAAAUGAUUGAAGACAAACAUUUGUGGUUUCCCCUAGUGUUUUUUUUUUAACUGAAAUUUUUAACUAGAAUGAAAAUCACUUUGUAGCAAAGGAGACUUUAAGUCUUAAGUAACAGGUUGUUGACUUUCACUGCCAACACCUUCAGCUACGUAUAAAGUCAACUCUAAAACAAAAUACAAAGGAUUAUGACCUUUCAGGUGCUGUACCUGCAGAAAAAUCCAGAAAAAUCGAGUUUUGCUGACUGUAAACCAUAAGACAUACAGAACUACGAUUCUUAAAGCUUAAUUCACAUUUAAAAUAACACUAAAUGUAUCCUCUGCUUAGUUACAUGUUAAAUGCUUAGCUACUUGUUUUCCUACAGACAUGAGAGCAUAAAACAAAGCCCUAUUGGAAAUGGAACUAUCUAGACCCCAAAAAGUCAGUUUGAAGACGCUUGCUGGGGCUCAGCUGUUUUGACAGCCAAAGCAGAGCAAAUACAACGCAGGGAGCCUCAAACCAAGUCUGACCAGAGCUCUUCAAUGAGAAAUUACCAGUAAUUACAAAAAAAAAAAAAAAAAAAAAAAAAAAAAAAAAUCACAGACCUUAGGUCUGAGUUAGAGGAAAUAUAUUCUCCUAUGUAAAGUAAGAAAUCGAACAAAGUUUUGUUUUGCUUUGCUUUCAUGUUUAAUGUGAAAACAGUGACUGUGGAGUUUAUGGAGCAAACAUCACUUCAUAUUAACUUCAAAGGUUAUAUUAUGUCACCAAGAAGUAGCAUGAUAACUGAUGUCACAAUUUAUGCUUUCCAAAAAAACGCCGUUAAAACAUAAAUGAUGUGAAUUCAUCUACACUGCUGAGGAACUUGCUCUGAAACUCUACACACAGCUGCAUAAUCACUUCCUUUUGGCAUUAAAAUAAAGACAAUUAGAGGACACGGUUAACAGGAUCUAAGACAUAAAUCAAAAUAUUUACACAAGUUUGAUAAUGUUUCAGACAGAACUUUAAAAAAUCAUUCUUAUUCCAAAUUGAAUGUUUGGUUUUUUUAACCAAUUCUCUGUAAGAAGGCUCUCAAAGGACAAGUCAAUAACUUUUUAUUAAUACAAUAACUCUUAAGUACCCAAGUAAAUGGCUGCUUUUUGCUGCCGCUUUUGCACCCACGAGAGUGGGAGCCAUUCAUUGGAAGCAACAAGUUAUCCCUCUUAGGUGAAAAUUCCUUCUGCUGGUUCCCAGAGAUACCUAGGAAGACUCUGGGGAACCCUUGGCUAAUUAUCCCAGGAAAACUGCUGCCUCGGCUGAAACUGGAAGCUCAUGGUGGACCCCAAGAUAUCUUAUCUUUGGGACACUUAAAAAAAAAAA